GAUGAACGCUAGCUACAGGCUUAACACAUGCAAGUCGAGGGGCAGCAUGAUUGAAUCUUGCUUCAAUCGAUGGCGACCGGCGCACGGGUGAGUAACACGUAUCCAACCUGCCGAUAACUCGUGGAUACCCGUUCGAAAUACAGAAUAAUACUCGAUAGUAUAGUAUUUCCGCAUGGUUUCACUAUUAAAGACCUUCGGUUGUCGAUGGGGGUGCCUUCCAUUCGUUAGUUGGCGGGGUAACGGCCCACCAAGUCAACGCUGGAUACGGGUUCUGAGAGGAAGGUCCACCGAGAUGGAAACGAGGCACGAUCUAAACUCGUACGGAAGGGAGCAGUGAGGAACAUUAGGCAAGGGACGAGAGUGUGAACCAGCCAAGUAGCGUGAAGGAUGACUGCGCUAUGAGUUGUAAACUUCUUUUAUACGGGAAUAGAGUGGAGUAUGCAUACCGCUUUGUAUGUACCGAAUGAAUAAGGAUCGGCUAACUCCGUG
This 489-nucleotide ribosomal RNA is filed under the name uncultured bacterium. Its description in RNAcentral is "partial 16S ribosomal RNA". It matches the Rfam family "Bacterial small subunit ribosomal RNA", at positions 28 to 507 of the family's 1533-position model. The record is from RNAcentral.